RNAcentral lists this transfer RNA (75 nucleotides) under Mycobacterium avium. RNAcentral describes it as "tRNA-Gly". The record is from RNAcentral. RNAcentral also lists the same sequence under 3 other names. Lineage: Bacteria; Bacillati; Actinomycetota; Actinomycetes; Mycobacteriales; Mycobacteriaceae.
CAUCGGCGUUGGGCGUGGGGCUUUGGGCGGAUUCCCAUUUCGCCUCGAGUGCCCGGGUCACCCGGGUGCCGGCGG